Molecule: ribosomal RNA, 380 nt
Filed under: uncultured bacterium
Lineage: Bacteria
Description: bacterial SSU rRNA
Rfam family: Bacterial small subunit ribosomal RNA
Source: RNAcentral
ACUCCUACGGGAGGCAGCAGUGGGGAAUAUUGCACAAUGGGGGAAACCCUGAUGCAGCCAUGCCGCGUGUGUGAAGAAGGCCUUCGGGUUGUAAAGCACUUUCAGUAGGGAGGAAGGUAGUGUAGUUAACACCUGCAUUAUUUGUACGUUACCUACAGAAGAAGCACCGGCUAACUCCGUGCCAGCAGCCGCGGUAAGUACGGAGGGUGCGAGCGUUAAUCGGAAUUACUGGGCGUAAAGCGCAUGCAGGCGGCCUGUUAAGUCAGAUGUGAAAGCCCGGGGCGUUAACCUCGGAAUUGCAUUUGAAACUGGCAGGCUAGAGUCUUGUAGAGGGGGUUAGAAUUUCAGGUGUAGCGGUGAAAUGCGUAGAGAUCUGAAGG